RNAcentral lists this ribosomal RNA (253 nucleotides) under uncultured bacterium. RNAcentral's name for it is "partial 16S ribosomal RNA". It matches the Rfam family "Bacterial small subunit ribosomal RNA", at positions 524 to 776 of the family's 1533-position model. The record is from RNAcentral.
GACAGAGGGUGCAAACGUUGUUCGGAAUUACUGGGCGUAAAGCGUGUGUAGGCGGCUUUGCAAGUCGGAUGUGAAAGCCCCGGGCUCAACCCGGGAAGUGCACUCGAUACUGCAGAGCUUGAGUAUCGGAGAGGUUGGUGGAAUUCUCGGUGUAGAGGUGAAAUUCGUAGAUAUCGAGAGGAACACCGGCGGCGAAGGCGGCCAACUGGACGAAUACUGACGCUGAGGUGCGAAAGCGUGGGGAGCAAACAGG